This is a ribosomal RNA of Aotus nancymaae (Ma's night monkey), 119 nucleotides long. The record is from Ensembl. NCBI's taxonomy places the organism in Eukaryota, Metazoa, Chordata, Mammalia, Primates, Aotidae.
GUUUACGGCCAUACCACUCUGAACGCGCCCGAUCUAGUUUGAUCUCGUAAGCUAAGCGGGGUCGGGCCUGGUUAGUACUUGGAUGGAAGACCGCCUGGGACUACCGGGUGCUGUAGGCU